RNAcentral lists this transfer RNA (72 nucleotides) under Candidatus Daviesbacteria bacterium RIFCSPHIGHO2_01_FULL_36_37. RNAcentral describes it as "tRNA-Pro". It matches the Rfam family "tRNA". Rfam says of the family: Transfer RNA (tRNA) molecules are approximately 80 nucleotides in length. Their secondary structure includes four short double-helical elements and three loops (D, anti-codon, and T loops). Further hydrogen bonds mediate the characteristic L-shaped molecular structure. tRNAs have two regions of fundamental functional importance: the anti-codon, which is responsible for specific mRNA codon recognition, and the 3' end, to which the tRNAs corresponding amino acid is attached (by aminoacyl-tRNA synthetases). tRNAs cope with the degeneracy of the genetic code in two manners: having more than one tRNA (with a specific anti-codon) for a particular amino acid; and 'wobble' base-pairing, i.e. permitting non-standard base-pairing at the 3rd anti-codon position. The record is from RNAcentral. RNAcentral also lists the same sequence under 1 other name. Lineage: Bacteria; Candidatus Daviesiibacteriota.
CGGGGUGUAGUUCAUCGGCAGAACGCUUGGUUUGGGACCAUGAUGUAGGAGGUUCAAUUCCUCUCACCCCGA